Molecule: long non-coding RNA, 11992 nt
Filed under: Lactuca sativa (garden lettuce)
Lineage: Eukaryota; Viridiplantae; Streptophyta; Magnoliopsida; Asterales; Asteraceae
Description: long non-coding RNA (LSAT_LNC005678)
Source: RNAcentral
AACAAUCGAAUUAUUGUACACAAAAUUACAAAAAAAAUAAUUUUCUUUUUUCUUAUUUUUUAUUCUAAAACUCCUACGCCCCACCUAACUACUCACUCAAUUGAAUUAGUCGGGUUGUAUCUCACUUUGAAGCUGCAACACCGAAGACAACCGGAGGACCGUCGCCGGUAACGACCGGAACACCACCGGAAAUCUACUUGAACAUCGUUGAAACGAUCGGAGAAUCAUCGGAACAUUGCCUCUUCACUUCCUUGCUUCGCCUCCGAACAUUAGCUUGUCGGAAAAGACCUAUGUCUAUCUUUGCUAUUCCUAAACCACCUCCUUCUGCCUCUCCUCUUCCUAAACUGCCUCCUUGAACCGCCUCCUUGGAAUCAGCUAGAAAAUCACCUUAUAAGAAACUACCUUAGUGGAAACUACAUCUUUCUCGUCUCGUCUUUGAUCUCGUUUUCACCAGCCACUAGAUCUGGUUUAACCAGAUCCAGAAAUAAAGUAGAAAGCCACCAGAUCUGGUUUCCGAUCUAGUUUUACUGUUCACCGCGUCGCGACAUUAUCUUGAAGAGCCUCUGGAUGAAAUCAAAUCUUAACUCACAUACACAAACAUAUCCAAAAAAAGACGAUGAUAAGGAAAAAGGUAAACCAGAUUUUGAACUUAUUUUUCUUUAACUUAUAAGUAACCUGCAGUGAGAUCUAUUGAAUAAUCAAAUAGGUUUUCUUAAUUCUUUCAAAUAGAUUUAUGUUGACAAACGAUGCAAGUCUAGUUGGAGGUUAACCAAGUUAAUCCUAGUUUCACAUUCGUUAUUCCUAGACUUAUAAUCUCGAUGGUCAUCAAAAUCAUAAGACACGAGCAAUCAAGCAGAUGUUCAUACAACUUAAUUUACUUGACAAUUAACAGCAAAUAAUUAUCAUUAACACGUAAGGAUCUUUUAACAAGCUUGGCAAGAUAAAUUAAACAUAAACAAACAAUUCAAUAUAACAAUUAGUCCAAUAAUCAAGGUUUCAUUCAAUCAUAAACAAAAGUAAAAGGUUUUUACACCUAAAUCAGAAACUAAACACAUAAUAGUAUCACAAUGGAAUGCUAAACAUGGUCAUGUUAACAACCCAUAUGAUUACCGACAUGUAUCCGCUCUGUAACCCUUUGAUCUUCGCUCCCGUUAGCUUACCGGCCUUCCGGCCGCCUUCUAGACCCUUAAAACGGCUUAACAGAAGUUAAUAAUCGACUAAAUUAGGUUAGAAGUCGAAUCCCCCCCUCUGGUUAGCUGUUAAUCGCCUUUUAUAACCCUUGUAACCGACUUACGUACGCUGGGCCUAAGUCGGAUUACGCUGGGCGUAGUGAAGAUUAAUACGUGAUGAGGAAAUCUGAAUGCAAGCAGUUACGCGGGGCGUACAUAUCGUUUACGUUGGGCGUAACGCGUAUUUGUCUGUUACGCUUAGCGUACUAGUUACUUACGCGGGGCGUAAACGGCUCCUUCAGUCUUUUUCCUUUCUUUUAGCCUCUAAGCCCAAUUUCCGCUUCAGUCUUUUCUUUUGUGCUCUAUUGACAACAAAUAGCUGCAAAUCAUAAUUCAAAGCAUUAUAAGUACUUUUUAGUUCUAAAAGAGAAUAAUAAAGGCCAAAAUAUUAAGAUAUAAUGCAUAAAAAUAUAUAUAAAAAUACACAUAUCAAAAUACCCUACACUUAGCCUUUGCUUGACCCCAAACAAAUUUACUUUUAUUUUACCAAUAUCGUACUAAACAAUCCAUUUAAAACUCAGCCAUUAUGUCAAGACCGCAACGCAUGCAUUUGUGUCUAAAAUUUUCCUAAAGUACCCCCCAUACUUUAAAUACUCACAAUCUUCAUAAACACUCGCCCACUUCUUUCGAACAAUGCUCAUUUUAUGCAACCCUCCGAAUCCAUCCUCAGAAAACCUUUUAACCUCAAGGUAUUUUUGGUUGAGCAACCCAAGCAUACAUAAUCUAGAAUUACAACUUAUGAUACCACUAUGGAGCUUUUUUAAAUUCUUCACUUUCUUGAUAAUUUGAUAUUUGAUUUCUUUGAAUUCAUCACCUUGUUUGAUUUGAUUUCUGGUAUCUUCAACUUUUUGAAUUCAAAACUUUGAUCUUUUGAUCUUCACUUUAUUUGCUCCAAAAUUCUUCAAACUUUUCUUGCAAUUCUCUCUCUCUCUCUCUCUCUCUCUCUACAUGUACCUCAAUUUUUUCACUCAAAACCUAUAUGCUUAAGCAGGGGAGCUCAACUUCAACCUUUAUUGGUUAAUGAUAAUAAUUUUCCUGGAUACAUUUCAGGUUUAGGCUGCUAAACAUAUUGCAUCCCUCAAACCAAGAGGGGUUAUGUUUUUGUUCCAUGAUUUCACUAAAAUAAGGGAGGCCAUAAAUGCACUAUAACGUGUAUUGGCUCAACUAAACAUUUGAGUUUUCAUCGGAUCAUCUCAUACAAUAUUAGCAAAAAAUUUAAACUAUCACUAGAUUUUUCUAAAUUAAACUAUUAUUUCAAGUUUUUAAAUUUUCAAAUUUCCUAAAUCUAGCAAUUUCCAAACUAUUAUUUCAUUUUUUUUUUCAUUAUUUACUUCUACCGACCCCCUACCUCACACUUAUUUCAUACAAUGUCCUCAUUGUAUGCAUAAAACUAAUUAAGCACAUAAAACGGGAGAAAAAGGAACAGACUCCCCUGGGGUAGUUAUGGCGAGAUCGAAUGGGGCUGCUACAAGUUGCUUCAAAUAUUGCUAAAAAACUGAAAACUAGAAUUGGUGCUUCUGAAUUUGCCGAUAAAAUCAAGACUGCCGACUUUGAAAAUGUGGUGCAAAAGAUUGCACACAAAUGCAAUGUGUAAUAACCAUGACGUGGGAAAAUGUCGAACACGUCGUCUCGUCAAGAAUGACAUCCUUUUCUCGCGAUGAAAACUCCCCCACAACAUAGGAAAGUGUCAACCAUGCCGUGGCAGCCGGGAUGAUACUUCUUCCUCGCGUCGAAAUAAAACUCUAUGGUGUGGGAACAGCUCAUCUAUAUCAUAAGAGUCAAAAUAUCGUAUAAAUGUCAAUCUUCUAAACAAUCGCUCACGAAAUCAAUAUGCACCCCACACUUAUGACAAAUUGUGGGUCUUGACUAUAAUCUUUGAACUCUCACACGGCUCUCUCUAGCAACAGUCGGACCUAGCUGUUGAACUUACUUCCAGCUUUCUAUGGGCGAAAAUUCUGCAGAGAUCUAAACAACCAAAGAGCAUCAACAUGGAAAACAAAAGUAAAACACCCUAAAUUAAACUUAAUUACACACCAAAUCAAAAUACUAAUACUAAGCAACAAAAAAAACUAAAAAAAAUAUCACAAAAAUAAAAAGGAUAACUAAAUCACUCAUCAUCUCCAUCAUCAUGCUGCUGUGUCCCAGAAGUACCGGCCCCAUCAUGUCGUGGCUGGAAUGGUGGUGGAAAAGGAACCGAGUACUGAAACCCCUAGUGGGCAAAGACUGUGGUCAACACAUCCCCACACCACUGCUGUUGUCUCUCCACGUGUGCAACGUACUCACCAAGGUUCUGAACCCCCAAGUCAAUACGGUCAAUGCGUUGAGCUAAGUAACGCAUAUCAAUCUCCGGCUCAGGUCUCUGUUGCGCUCCCCGAGGAGCAGGUCUACGCCGCUGGACCCGUCUCAGCUGUGACUCGACGGCACCCUCCUCGUCUGCCACGUCAUCUGGUCGUACCCGCAAGACACCAUCUCCGCCCCGCUCAAGUACACGCAUCGACUCCAAUAACUGAAGGCUCAUCGGCCUCAUAUCAUGCAACACCAUCGAUCUCGUGAUCUCACACGUCAACAACUGAUAUGAUCGAGCUAAUCGCGUGAUAAAAUGCCCUCCACAAAUCGGGGUAUCCUCCCGAAGUCCCCUGGCCUUCCUACCCAAAUACGCGGCUAAAGCAACUGGAAGGUUCAGGUGCCUCCCUGGAGUAACAAGUGCCCAUAAAAAAUACAAGUCUGUCGAAGGCACUCUCUCACUAUUCUUAUGGUGCGUGAGAGACAUGGAAAUCAAACGGUGCAGCAGUCUGUAUGUAGUAGACCGAAUCAUCCUCCCCUGUGCAGUAGAUGGCGUGUAUACUCCCCCUGUAAUCUCGGCACAAAAAGUGUUUUCAUUAUAGUCCUCUGGCUGGUUCGUGAGACAAUCAGCAAGGAAUNCGUCUCGUCUACUAUAUAUAUCCCCACUCGAGUGGCAAGCUCUAUGACACUGCACUCCCGACUCACACCCCCCCAGUCUGAAGGCAAAGGUUGUCCUAUCAUCGGGUGUCUUCCUAGGGUCAUAGGAAACUGUAGCAUAAAACUCCAGCAAAAAUUCCCGAUAAACAGGCUCCUGGAUCCGGAAUAAUCGUGCCCAUCCCUGACAUACGAACAAAUGCACUCCACUCGCGUCCGAGUGCGUGUAUUGCAAAAAAUCCUGACUCAACGCAGCAAGUCCAGUCUGGGUCGCCAAUUCCCAGUCAAAUGAAGGUGCUAUGUCAAUCUCCUUAGUGAGCAGCAGACUCAGAUUGGUGACAUAUCGUGCCUGGGUUGCAUCGUUCAGAGUUUGCGGAAAUUGUAAGAAACGGUGAUCGGUCACCUCCUCGGGUGGGUUGGUCCUUUGAGUUCUUCGGGCCAUAAUCUGCACAAAUAAACACCAACACAAAACCAAAAAAUAUCAAAGCAUUAACAAUUUUUAAACCAAAAUAAUGGUUUUGGACUUGGUCUGUACGCUGGGCGUACAUCCAGCAUACGCGGGGCGUACGUCCAGAUUUACUAAUCUGUGUCGGUGUCCCCUGCUUGUUCUAAGGCCAUAAACAGUCAAUAUAUAUUUACACGAGAAUGAUGAAGGGUAGUCAAAAUAUGGGCAAACUACUUAGGCAUACGUCGAACGAAAUCGUAUAUGAACCAUAUCACUCUUUCAACAGCCUUAUACCAAGAACUGUGCAGGGCAGUCCGUCAAUGGAAGGUUUUCGCUAGGCGCAAACCCGUAAAGACGAAUCGAUGGCUAUUGCUUGGAAUUAAUGCUAAUUAGGUCCUAGGGUUUAGUCCAUUGGUCCGAAUCAGUGUAUUAAGACAUAAUCAAACACCAAAUUUGUAUGAAAUCGACCCUAAUGGACGAAGGGUAUAAACUCUAGAUUUCGCUUUAUCCUCAAUACCUCUAUUUCCAUGAAAAUAAUCCCAAAUCAAAGCAAUAGGGUAUUUGAAUAACAUACCUUUGUGUCGAAUUCUACAAGAAAAGAAGAAGAAUCGGAGAUUUCGUGGGAUACGCGAUCGUCUCAGUGCGGCGAAGUAGAAAGGAAUUGAAAGAAUAACAAAAAAAAGGCAAAGGUAAAAUGAUAUAACCUGUUGCCGAUUUACGCUAGGCGUAACCCCAACUCUGAGAAAAAGCCAUCCGCGAUCAAUGGUUCAUUACACUUGGCGUAAAUACACUUACGUUGGGCGUAAUUGAACUGAAAUAUUUCCUUUUCCUUAUUUGAAAUUCCUUUGUUUUAACUAAUUAAUUUGGGGACUUAUAAUUAUUAUUAAUUAAAUUUUUUUUUCUUUUAAUUGCUUCAACAACAGCCAUGACUUCCCGAUGAGUGACAUUUAAAAAAAAAAAAUGAGACGUCAUGAUCACUUGUCUUUGUCGAGAUCAAACAACAACGGUUGAUCAAAACCUUUGCACGCAAGAAUUGGUUUGCGAAAACAACCACUUUCGGGACCCGUUCGAAUAUUUCCUUUGUUUUCUUCGCACCUUUAACUAAAAGUAGAACAAGAGGUGACCUAACUAGUCAAGAACAGCAAGAGCUCGGUCUUCCACUUAACCACCACAAUAUGUCUUGCUAUACUACGCCUCAUGGAUUGAGUUGGACAAAUCAACAAAGUAGUAGGCUAAGCAGGUCAAGAAUUCUCUAAUCGCUUGUAUUCUCGAAACCCAUGAAAAAGGUAAAGUCAAACAAUGUAUACGAUCCCAAAUUCCUACAAAUAACAACAAGAACCUUCCCGACAAGUGAAAUGAUAUCAACGAAAAUCAAACUAAAAAUAAAAACUAAAUAAAAACAAAUAACUAAUAAUCAAAUAAACUAAAUUAAUGACAAGUCGUUCCCCGGCAACGACGCCAAAAACUUGAUGUGCACGAAAGUACCCACUAAUUUUAUUAUUUAUAACCUAACAAACUUAGACUAACUAUGCACUUAUAGGCAGUGUACCUAAUCAGAAUACAAUAUAGCUUAGGUAAGUCGGGUGUCGAUCACAGGGAACGGUGGUGAGUUAUUUUAAAAUAUUUGAUUAUAGGUUAGAAGUCACACGAAAAAAAUAAAGAAGUAGUUUAAUAAAUCUCAAACGAACAAUUAAUUGACAACUCUCGAUAAACUAACAGGAAAACAAAUCUCUUAAGGUACUUUGGUUUAGAUAAAUUACACCUUAAAAGCAUAUACAAUUGCAUACACCAAUUCAUUUAUUCAUGUUCACCGAUUCCUAAAAUAAUUAGAUUCGCGUUCACUAUAACUAAUCCUUUACCAAACAAGUCAAUUCAAACAGUGAUCAGUUGAUUAAACUAACAUGCUUCCUAGUGUUUAGUUCGUAUUAAGCAAGACUUGUAAAUAUAGUUAAUCAAAUUGGUCGUUCAAUUAACCACUUGUUGAUGGUCAUCAAACAAGGCUCACACAUUAACUUACUUAUUCCCAAGUUAAUCCUAUUUUCACAUUCGUUAUUCCUAUACUUAUAAUCUCGAUGGUCAUCAAAAUCAUAAGACACAAGCAAUCAAGCAGAUGUUCAUACAACUUAAUUUACUUGACAAUUAACAGCAAAUAAUUAUCAUUAACACGUAAGGAUCUUUUAACAAGCUUGGCAAGAUAAAUUAAACAUAAACAAACAAUUCAAUAUAACAAUUAGUCCAAUAAUCAAGGUUUCAUUCAAUCAUAAACAAAAGUAAAAGGUUUCUACACCUAAAUCGGAAACUAAACACAUAAUAGUAUCAUAAUGGAAUGCUAAACACGGUCACGUUAACAACCCAUAUGAUUACCGACAUGUAUCCGCUCUCCAACCCUUCGAUCUUCGCUCCCAUUAGCUUAACGGCCUUCCGGCUGCCUUCUAGACCCUCAAAACGGCUUAACAGAAGUUAAUUAUCGACUAAAUUAGGUUAGAAGUCGAAUCCCCCCCAAAACGGCUUAACAGAAGUUAAUUAUUGUCUUUUGGCGCCGUUGUUGGGGAACGACUUGUCAUUAAUUUAGUUUAUUUGAUUAUUCGUUAUUUAGUUUUUAUUUUUAGUUUGAUUUUCGUUGAUAUCAUUUCACUUGUCGGGAAGGUUCUUGUUGUUAUUUGCAGGAAUUUGGGAUCGUAUACAUUGUUUGACUUUACCUUUUUCAUGGGUUUCGAGAAUACAAGCGAUUAGAGAAUUCUUGACCUGCUUAGCCUACUACUUUGUUGAUUUGUCCAACUCAAUCCAUGAGGCAUAGUAUAGCAAGACGUAUUGUGGUGGUUAAGUGGAAGACCGAGCUCUUGCUGUUCUUGACUAGUUAGGUCACUUCUUGUUCUACUUUUAGUUAAAGGUGCGAAGAAAACAAAGGAAAUAUUCUAACGGGUCCCGAAAGUGGUUGUUUUCGCAAACCAAUUCUUGCGUGCAAAGGUUUUGAUCAACCGUUGUUGUUUGAUCUCGACAAAGACAAGUGAUCAUGACGUCUCAUUUUUUUUUUUUAAAUGUCACUCAUCGGGAAGUCAUGGCUGUUGUUGAAGCAAUUAAAAGAAAAAAAAAUUUAAUUAAUAAUAAUUAUAAGUCCCCAAAUUAAUUAGUUAAAAGAAAGGAAUUUCAAAUAAGGAAAAGGAAAUAUUUCAGUUCAAUUACGCCCAACGUAAGUGUAUUUACGCCAAGUGUAAUGAACCAUUGAUCGCGGAUGGCUUUUUUGCGGAGUUGGGGUUACGCCCAACGUAACUUCGCUUUACGCCCAGCGUAAAUCGGCACAGGUUAUAUGAUUUUACCUUAGCCUUUUUUUGUUAUUCUUUCAAUUCCUUUCUACUUCGCCGCACUGAGACGAUCGCGUAUCCCACGAAAUCUCCGAUUCUUCUUCUUUUCUUGUAGAAUUCGACACAAAGGUAUGUUAUUCAAAUACCCUAUUGCUUUGAUUUUGGAUUAUUUUCAUGGAAAUAGAGGUAUUGAGGAUAAAUCUAGGGUUUAUACCCUUCGUCCAUUAGGGUCGAUUUCAUACAAAUUUGAUGUUUGAUUAUGUCUUAAUACACUGAUUCGGACCAAUGGACUAAACCCUAGGACCUAAUUUAGCAUUAAUUCCAAGCAAUAGCCAUCGAUUCGUCUUUAGGGGUUUGCGCCUAGCGAAAACCUUCCAUUGACGGACUGCCCUGCACAGUUCUUGGUAUAAGGCUGUUGAAAGAGUGAUAUGGUUCAGAUACGAUUUCGUUCGACGUAUGCCUAAGUAGUUUGCCCAUAUUUUGACUACCCUUCAUCAUUCUUGUGUAAAUAUAUAUUGACUGUUUAUGGCCUUAGAACAAGCAGGGGACACCGACACAGAUUAGUAAAUCUGGACGUACGCCCAGCAUACAGACCAAGUCCAGAACCAUUAUUUUGGUUUAAAAGUUGUUAAUGCUUUGAUAUUUUUUGGUUUUGUGUUGGUGUUUAUUUGUGCAGAUUAUGGCCCGAAGAACUCAAAGGACCAACCCACCCGAGGACGUGACCGAUCACCGUUUCUUACAAUUUCCACAAACUCUGAACGAUGCAACCCGGGCACGAUAUGUCACCAAUCUGAGUCUGCUGCUCACUAAGGAGAUCGACAUAGCACCUUCAUUUAACUGGGAAUUGGCGACCCAGACUGGACUUGCUGCGUUGAGUCAGGAUUUUUUGCAAUACACGCACUCGGACGCGAGUGGAGUGCAUUUGUUCGUAUGUCAGGGAUGGGCAUGAUUGUUCAGGAUCCAGGAGCCUGUUUAUCGGGAAUUUUUGCUGGAGUUUUAUGCUACAGUUUCCUAUGACCCUAGGAAGACACCCGAUGAUAGGACAGUCUUUGCCUUCAGACUGAGGGGUGUGAGUCGGGAGUGUAGUGUCAUAGAGCUUGCCACUCGAGUGGGGAUAUAUACAGCAGACGAGACGAGGAGUGUCCACUUCCCGACAUUCCUUGUUGAUUGUCUCACGGACCAGCCAGAGGACUAUAAUGAAAACACUUUUUGGGCCAAGAUUACAGGGGGAGUAUACACGCCAUCUACUGCACGGGGGAGGAUGAUUCGGUCUACUACAUACAGACUGCUGCAUCGUUUGAUUUCCAUGUCUCUCACGCACCAUAAGAACAGUGAGAGAGUGCUUUCGACAGACUUUUAUUUUUUAUGGGCACUUAUUACUCCAGGGAGGCACCUGAACCUUCCAGUUGCUUUAGCCGUGUAUUUGGGUAGGAGGGCCAAGGGACUUCGGGAGGAUAGCCCGAUUUGCGGAGGGCAUUUUAUCACGCGAUUAGCUCGAUCAUAUCAGUUGUUGACGCGGGAGAUCACGAGAUCGAUGGUGUUGCAUGAUAUGAGGCCGAUGAGCCUUCAGUUAUUGGAGUCGAUGCGUGUACUUGAGCGGGGCGGAGAUGGUGUCUUGCGGGUACGACCAGAUGACGUGGCGGACGAGGAGGAUGUCAUCGAGUCACAACUGAGACGGGUCCAGUGGCGUAGACCUGCUCCUCGGGGAGCGCAACAGGGACCUGAGCCGAAGAUUGAUAUGCGUUACUUAGCUCAGCGCAUUGACCGUAUUGACUUGGGGGUUCAGAACCUUGGUGAGUACGUUGCACACGUGGAGAGACAACAGCAGUGGUGUGGGGAUGCGUUGACCGCAUUCUUUGCCCACCAGGGGUUUCAGUACUCGGUUCCUUUUCCACCACCAUUCCAGCCACGACAUGAUGGGGUCGGUACUUCUGGGACACAAUAGCAUGAUGACGGAGAUGAUGAGUGAUUUAGUUAUCCUUUUUAUUUUUGUGUUAUUUUUUUUAGUUUUUUUUUGCUGCUUAGUAUUAGUAUCUUUAUUUGGUGUGUAAUUAAGUUUAAUUUAGGGUGUUUUACUUUUGUUUUCCAUGUUGAUGCUCUUUGGUUGUUUAGAUCUCUACAGAAUUUUCGCCCUUAGAAAGCUGGCAGUAAGUUCAGCAGCUAGGUCCGACUGUUGCUAGAGAGAGCCGUCUGAGAGUUCGAAGAUUAUAGUCAAGACCAACAAUUUGUCAUAAGUGUGGGGUGCAUAUUGAUUUCGUGAGCGAUUGUUUAGAAGAUUGGCAUUUUUACGAUAUUUUGACUCUUAUGAUACGGAUGAGUUGUUCCCACACCAUAGGGUUUUAUUUCGACGCGAGGAAGAAGUAUCAUCCCGGCUGCCACGACAUGGUUGACACUUUCCUAUGUUGUGGGGGAGUUUUCAUCGCGAGCAAAGGAUGUCAUUCUUGACGAGACGACGUGGUCGACAUUUUCCCACGUCAUGGUUAUUACACAUUGCAUUUGUUUGCAAUCUUUUGCACCACAUUUUCAAAGUCGGCAGUCUUGAUUUUAUCGGCAAAUUCAGCAGCAGUUCCAGUUUUCAGUUUUUCAGCAAUAUUUGAAGCAACUUGUAGCAGCCCCAUUCGAUCUCACCACAACUACCCUAGGGGAGUCUGUUCCUUUUUCUCCCUUUUUAUGUGUUUAAUUAGUUUUAUGCAUACAAUGAGGACAUUGUAUGAAAUAAGUGUGGGGUAGAGGGUCGGUAAAAGUAAAUAAUGAAAAAAAAUGAAAUAAUAGUUUGGAAAUUGCUAGAUUUCGGAAAUUUGAAAAUUUAAAAACUUGAAAUAAUAGUUUAAUUUAGAAAAAUCUAGUGAUAGUUUAAAAUUUUUGCUAAUAUUGCAUGAGAUGAUCCGAUGAGAAUUCAAAUGUUUAGUUGAGCCGAUACACGUUAUAGUGCAUUUGUGGCCUCCCUUAUUUUAGUGAAAUCAUGGAACAAAAACAUAACUCCGCUUGGUUUGAGGGAUGCAAUAUGUUUAGCAGCCUAAACCUGAAAUGUAUCCAGGAAAAUUAUUAUCAUUAACCAAUAAAGGUUGAAGUUGAGCGCCCCUGCUUAAGCAUGUAGGUUUUGAGUGAAAAAAGUGAGGUACGUGUAAAAAAAAGAAAAAAAAGAGAGAAUUGCAAGAAAAGUUUGAAGAAUUUUGGAGCAAAUAAAGUGAAGAUCAAAAGAUCAAAGUUCUGAAUUCAAAAAGUUGAAGAUACCAGAAAUCAAAUCAAACAAGGUGGUGAAUUCAAAGAAAUCAAAGAUCAAAUUAUCAAGAAAGUGAAGAGUUCAAAAAAGCUCCAUAGUGGUAUCAUAAGUUGUAAUUCUAGAUUAUGUAUGCUUGGGUUGCUCAACCAAAAAUACCUUGAGGUUAAGAGGUUUUCUGAGCAUGGAUUCAGAGGGUUGCAUAAAAUGAGCAUUGUUNCGAAAGAAGUGGGCGAGUGUUUAUGAAGAUUGUGAGUAUUUAAAGUAUGGGGGGUACUUUAGGAAAAUUUUAGACACAAAUGCAUGCGUUGCGGUCUUGACAUAAUGGCUGAGUUUUAAAUGGAUUGUUUAGUACGAUAUUGGUAAAAUAAAAGUAAAUUUGUUUGGGGUCAAGCAAAGGCUAAGUGUAGGGUAUUUUGAUAUGUGUAUUUUUAUAUAUAUUUUUAUGCAUUAUAUCUUAAUAUUUUGGCCUUUAUUAUUCUCUUUUAGAACUAAAAAGUACUUAUAAUGCUUUGAAUUAUGAUUUGCAGCUAUUUGUUGUCAAUAGAGCACAAAAGAAAAGACUGAAGCGGAAAUUGGGCUUAGAGGCUAAAAGAAAGGAAAAAGACUGAAGGAGCCGUUUACGCCCCGCGUAAUUAACUAGUAUGCUAAGCGUAACAGCCAAAUACGCGUUACGCCCAGCGUAAACUAUAUGUACGCCCCGCGUAACUGCUUGCAUUCAGAUUUCCUCAUCGCGUAUUAAUCUUCACUACGCCCAGCGUAAUCCGACUUACGCCCAGCAUAUGUAAGUCGGUUACAAGGGUUAUAAAAGGCGAUUAACAGCUAACCAGAGGGGGGAUUCGACUUCUAACCUAAUUUA